GNCGGGAUAGCUCAGUUGGUAGAGCAGAGGACUGAAAAUCCUCGU
This 45-nucleotide transfer RNA is filed under the name Canistropsis albiflora. RNAcentral describes it as "partial tRNA-Phe". It matches the Rfam family "tRNA", at positions 1 to 44 of the family's 71-position model. Rfam says of the family: Transfer RNA (tRNA) molecules are approximately 80 nucleotides in length. Their secondary structure includes four short double-helical elements and three loops (D, anti-codon, and T loops). The record is from RNAcentral. Lineage: Eukaryota; Viridiplantae; Streptophyta; Magnoliopsida; Poales; Bromeliaceae.